GCACUAGUAGCUUAAUACCCAGAGCACCGGUCUUGUAAACCGGCAGGUGAAGGUUAAACCCCUUCCUAAUGCU
RNAcentral lists this transfer RNA (73 nucleotides) under Halichoeres trimaculatus (threespot wrasse). RNAcentral describes it as "tRNA-Thr". It matches the Rfam family "tRNA". Rfam says of the family: Transfer RNA (tRNA) molecules are approximately 80 nucleotides in length. Their secondary structure includes four short double-helical elements and three loops (D, anti-codon, and T loops). Lineage: Eukaryota; Metazoa; Chordata; Actinopteri; Labriformes; Labridae. The record is from RNAcentral.